UGACCCCAUGCCGAACUCAGAAGUGAAACGCCGUAGCGCCGAUGGUAGUGUGGGGACUCCCCAUGCGAGAGUAGGGAACUGCCAGAC
This 87-nucleotide ribosomal RNA is filed under the name Escherichia coli. Lineage: Bacteria; Pseudomonadati; Pseudomonadota; Gammaproteobacteria; Enterobacterales; Enterobacteriaceae. The record is from RNAcentral. RNAcentral also lists the same sequence under 1 other name.